This 207-nucleotide ribosomal RNA is filed under the name uncultured bacterium. RNAcentral's name for it is "partial 16S ribosomal RNA". It matches the Rfam family "Bacterial small subunit ribosomal RNA", at positions 568 to 774 of the family's 1533-position model. The record is from RNAcentral.
GGCGCAGACGGUUAUUUAAGCAAGAUGUGAAAGCCCCGGGCUCAACCUGGGAACUGCGUUUUGAACUGGGUAACUAGAGUGUGUCAGAGGGGGGUAGAAUUCCACGUGUAGCAGUGAAAUGCGUAGAGAUGUGGAGGAAUACCGAUGGCGAAGGCAGCCCCCUGGGAUAACACUGACGUUCAUGCUCGAAAGCGUGGGUAGCAAACA